RNAcentral lists this ribosomal RNA (709 nucleotides) under uncultured Staphylococcus sp. RNAcentral describes it as "bacterial SSU rRNA". It matches the Rfam family "Bacterial small subunit ribosomal RNA", at positions 59 to 750 of the family's 1533-position model. Lineage: Bacteria; Bacillati; Bacillota; Bacilli; Caryophanales; Staphylococcaceae. The record is from RNAcentral.
AAGUCGAGCGAACGGACGAGAAGCUUGCUUCUCUGAUGUUAGCGGCGGACGGGUGAGUAACACGUGGAUAACCUACCUAUAAGACUGGGAUAACUUCGGGAAACCGGAGCUAAUACCGGAUAAUAUUUUGAACCGCAUGGUUCAAAAGUGAAAGACGGUCUUGCUGUCACUUAUAGAUGGAUCCGCGCUGCAUUAGCUAGUUGGUAAGGUAACGGCUUACCAAGGCAACGAUGCAUAGCCGACCUGAGAGGGUGAUCGGCCACACUGGAACUGAGACACGGUCCAGACUCCUACGGGAGGCAGCAGUAGGGAAUCUUCCGCAAUGGGCGAAAGCCUGACGGAGCAACGCCGCGUGAGUGAUGAAGGUCUUCGGAUCGUAAAACUCUGUUAUUAGGGAAGAACAUAUGUGUAAGUAACUGUGCACAUCUUGACGGUACCUAAUCAGAAAGCCACGGCUAACUACGUGCCAGCAGCCGCGGUAAUACGUAGGUGGCAAGCGUUAUCCGGAAUUAUUGGGCGUAAAGCGCGCGUAGGCGGUUUUUUAAGUCUGAUGUGAAAGCCCACGGCUCAACCGUGGAGGGUCAUUGGAAACUGGAAAACUUGAGUGCAGAAGAGGAAAGUGGAAUUCCAUGUGUAGCGGUGAAAUGCGCAGAGAUAUGGAGGAACACCAGUGGCGAAGGCGACUUUCUGGUCUGUAACUGACGCUGAU